UUAAGUCACCGAUCGCUCGGAUCGAGUUGUUGAGUAGUUCACACAUAACGAUUGAGAGACAAGUUUCGAUCGCCGAGCGAACGCCGAGUUCCUCCCGAGCCGGCAAGUCUAGCGCCGACCAGUUGUAGAGCGAAAAUCAGGUCAAAAGCAUGUAGUGUGAACUAGGUACAAGCUAACUGGAUGGGCUAUGACUUUGUAGCUCUUGGCCUUUAGGACUACACUGGCUACACCACGCAGGUCAGGCAGAGGAUCCUCAGGGCUGCCAGGAAAGAACUGGAAGUCCUGAAGUAGGUAUGCGGUAAAGAGAAAUAUUUCCAUUUUGGCCACAGACUCCCCGAGGCAUAGCCGAGCACCCCCACUAAAGGGUAUUAGGGCUCGAAGUGAACCCCCGCCUCCUUCCAAAAAGCGCUCUGAAAUAAAGAUAAAAGUGCCUUAAUAAAAUUA
Molecule: long non-coding RNA, 444 nt
Organism: Trichomycterus rosablanca
Lineage: Eukaryota; Metazoa; Chordata; Actinopteri; Siluriformes; Trichomycteridae
Exons: 2
Source: RefSeq, a predicted model, not a curated record